RNAcentral lists this ribosomal RNA (301 nucleotides) under uncultured bacterium. RNAcentral's name for it is "partial 16S ribosomal RNA". It matches the Rfam family "Bacterial small subunit ribosomal RNA", at positions 509 to 807 of the family's 1533-position model. The record is from RNAcentral.
CAGUCGCCGCGGGAAUACGUAGGGUGCAAGCGUUAUCCGGAAUUAUUGGGCGUAAAGAGCUCGUAGGCGGUUUGUCGCGUCUGCUGUGAAAACUGGAGGCUCAACCUCCAGCCUGCAGUGGGUACGGGCAGACUAGAGUGCGGUAGGGGAGAUUGGAAUUCCUGGUGUAGCGGUGGAAUGCGCAGAUAUCAGGAGGAACACCGAUGGCGAAGGCAGAUCUCUGGGCCGUAACUGACGCUGAGGAGCGAAAGCGUGGGGAGCGAACAGGAUUAGAUACCCCAGUAGUCCCUGUCUCUUAUAC